CGGAGAGUUUGAUCCUGGCUCAGGAUGAACGCUGGCGGCGUGCCUAAUACAUGCAAGUCGAACGGAGAGUUUGGAAGAAUCCUCGGAGGAAGCUGAACUUCUUAGUGGCGAACGGGUGAGUAUCGCGUUGGUGACCUGCCCCAAAGCGGGGGACAACAGUUCGAAAGAAUUGCUAAUACCCCAUGUGUCCUUCUAUGUUUAGAAGUAGAAGGGUAAAGGAGAAAUCCACUUUGGGAGGGGCCUGCGUCCCAUCAGCUAGUUGGUAAGGUAAAGGCUUACCAAGGCGUAGACGGGUAGGGGACCUGAGAGGGUGGCCCCCCACAAUGGAACUGAAACACGGUCCAUACACCUACGGGUGGCAGCAGUAGGGAAUAUUGCACCAUGGGCGAAAGCCUGAUGCAGCAACGCCGCGUGAGCGAUGAAGGCCUUCGGGUCGUAAAGCUCUUUUCAAGGGGAAGAGGAAGGACGGUACCCUUGGAAUAAGUCUCGGCUAACUACGUGCCAGCAGCCGCGGUAAAACGUAGGAGGCGAGCGUUAUCCGGAUUUACUGGGCGUAAAGCGCGUGUAGGCGGCGUAGAAAGUUGGAUGUGAAAGCUCCUGGCUUAACUGGGAGAGGUCGUUCAAAACUUCUAUGCUAGAGUUUGGUAGAGGAAAAUGGAAUUCCGGGAGUAGUGGUGAAAUGCGUAGAUAUCCGGAGGAACACCAGUGGCGAAAGCGAUUUUCUGGACCAAUACUGACGCUCAGACGCGAAAGCUAGGGUAGCAAACGGGAUUAGAGACCCCGGUAGUCCUAGCCGUAAACGAUGUAGACUUGGCGUUGGGUGGGUAAAACUGCUCAGUGCCGAAGCAAACGCGAUAAGUCUACCGCCUGGGGACUACGGCCGCAAGGUUAAAACUCAAAGGAAUUGACGGGGCCCCGCACAAGCAGCGGAGCGUGUGGUUUAAUUCGAUGCUACACGAAGAACCUUACCAGGGUUUGACAUAUAAGUGGUAGGGAAGGGAAACCGGACCGACCCUUCGGGGAGCUUAUACAGGUGCUGCAUGGCUGUCGUCAGCUCGUGUCGUGAGAUGUUCGGUUAAGUCCGCUAACGAGCGCAACCCUCGCUGUGUGUUACAAGUGUCACACGGAACUGCCGGUCUUAAACCGGAGGAAGGUGGGGAUGACGUCAAGUCAGCAUGGCCUUUAUAUCCUGGGCUACACACACGCUACAAUGGAUAGGGACAACAGGUAGCGAAGCCGCGAGGUGGAGCCAAUCCCAGAAAACUAUUCUCAGUUCAGAUUGUAGGCUGCAACUCGCCUGCAUGAAGUCGGAGUUGCUAGUAACCGCAGGUCAGCAAUACUGCGGUGAAUACGUUCCCGGGGCUUGUACACACCGCCCGUCACGUCAUGGGAGCUGGUAACACCUGAAGCCGGUAGCCUAACCCGCAAGGGAGGGCGCUGUCGAAGGUGGUGCUGGUGACUGGGACGAAGUCGUAACAAGGUAGGUGUACCGGAAGGUGCGCCUGGAUCACCUCCUUUCUA
This 1521-nucleotide ribosomal RNA is filed under the name Anaerolineaceae bacterium. Its description in RNAcentral is "bacterial SSU rRNA". It matches the Rfam family "Bacterial small subunit ribosomal RNA". Lineage: Bacteria; Bacillati; Chloroflexota; Anaerolineae; Anaerolineales; Anaerolineaceae. The record is from RNAcentral.